Entelurus aequoreus (snake pipefish) is the source of this 363-nucleotide long non-coding RNA. RefSeq lists it as uncharacterized. Lineage: Eukaryota; Metazoa; Chordata; Actinopteri; Syngnathiformes; Syngnathidae. The record is from RefSeq and is a predicted model, not a curated record. The transcript has 3 exons.
UUGUACAAAAACACAAUUUUAGGUCAACAGAGUGCUGCUGCUGAUCUAGGCCUAGUGAUUCUUCCUGCCUCUCUUUAAAUGUAAAGCUGCCUCUGCUGCACCUGUGACGUUUGCCGCCUGCCGUGCAAUGCCAGUGCGCACUGGGCAUCAAAAGCGCAGAUAGAGGCAAAACAAUGUCACAAAAAAGGACAUAUCCUUCAGGUGCAGAAAAAAGGAAGAAGAAGAAAGUGGAAGAGGAGAAAAAAUGCCAUGAUAAAGGAGCAUUGUUAAAAUACUUUGGAGGCACAGAAUCAGCCCAGAGCCAGUCCACAUCCUCAGGCUCAACUGUGAGUGAUGAAUCAGGUCCAUCUCCAUCCUCUACAG